RNAcentral lists this ribosomal RNA (1051 nucleotides) under Penicillium brevicompactum. RNAcentral describes it as "SSU rRNA". It matches the Rfam family "Eukaryotic small subunit ribosomal RNA", at positions 46 to 1104 of the family's 1831-position model. Lineage: Eukaryota; Fungi; Ascomycota; Eurotiomycetes; Eurotiales; Aspergillaceae. The record is from RNAcentral.
AANCCUGCAUGUCUAAGUAUAAGCAACUUGUACUGUGAAACUGCGAAUGGCUCAUUAAAUCAGUUAUCGUUUAUUUGAUAGUACCUUACUACAUGGAUACCUGUGGUAAUUCUAGAGCUAAUACAUGCUAAAAACCCCGACUUCAGGAAGGGGUGUAUUUAUUAGAUAAAAAACCAACGCCCUUCGGGGCUCCUUGGUGAAUCAUAAUAACUUAACGAAUCGCAUGGCCUUGCGCCGGCGAUGGUUCAUUCAAAUUUCUGCCCUAUCAACUUUCGAUGGUAGGAUAGUGGCCUACCAUGGUGGCAACGGGUAACGGGGAAUUAGGGUUCGAUUCCGGAGAGGGAGCCUGAGAAACGGCUACCACAUCCAAGGAAGGCAGCAGGCGCGCAAAUUACCCAAUCCCGAUACGGGGAGGUAGUGACAAUAAAUACUGAUACGGGGCUCUUUUGGGUCUCGUAAUUGGAAUGAGAACAAUUUAAAUCCCUUAACGAGGAACAAUUGGAGGGCAAGUCUGGUGCCAGCAGCCGCGGUAAUUCCAGCUCCAAUAGCGUAUAUUAAAGUUGUUGCAGUUAAAAAGCUCGUAGUUGAACCUUGGGUCUGGCUGGUCGGUCCGCCUCACCGCGAGUACUGAUCCGGCUGGACCUUUCCUUCUGGGGAACCUCAUGGCCUUCACUGGCUGUGGGGGGAACCAGGACUUUUACUGUGAAAAAAUUAGAGUGUUCAAAGCAGGCCUUUGCUCGAAUACAUUAGCAUGGAAUAAUAGAAUAGGACGUGUGGUUCUAUUUUGUUGGUUUCUAGGACCGCCGUAAUGAUUAAUAGGGAUAGUCGGGGGGCGUCAGUAUUNCAGCUGUCAGAGGUGAAAUUCUUGGAUUUGCUGAAGACUAACUACUGCGAAAGCAUUCGCCCAAGGAUGUUUUCAUUAAUCAGGGAACGAAAGUUAGGGGAUCGAAGACGAUCAGAUACCGUCGUAGUCUUAACCAUAAACUAUGCCGACUAGGGAUCGGACAGGAUUCUAUAANGACCUGUUCGGCACCUUACGAGAAAUCAAAGU